UGGGACCUUAUAUAGACAGGUGUGUGCCUUUCCAAAUCAUGUCCAAUCAAUUGAAUUUACCACAGAUAGACUCCAAUCAAGCUGUAGAAACAUCUCAAGGAUGAUCAAUGGAAACACGUAUGUAAAUAAGGUAUUUCUGUUUUUAUGUUAAAUAAAUAAAUAUGCAAAAAUGUCUAAAAAAGGUUUUACUUUGUUAUUAUGGGAUGUUGUGUUUUGGUUGAUGAUGAAAACCAUUUAUUUAAUCAUUUUUAGAAUGAGGCUGUCAGGGUUCUGAAUACUUUCUGAAAACGCUGUACGUCAAUGUUGGGGAAACGAUGGAGAUGACGAAUAUGAAGCUGAAAACUGGGACAUUUCCCUUAAAGAUAUUUAUGUUACCAUGUUUACCAAACAUAUACAGGACAUGGUUACCAUGUUUACCAAACAUAUACAGGACAUGGUUACCAUGUUUACCAAACAUAUACAGGACAUGGUUACCAUGUUUACCAAACAUAUACAGGACAUGGUUACCAUGUUUACCAAACAUAUACAGGACAUGGUUACCAUGUUUACCAAACAUAUACAGGACAUGGUUACCAUGUUUACCAAACAUAUACAGGACAUGGUUACCAUGUUUACCAAACAUAUACAGGACAUGGUUACCAUGUUUACCAAACAUAUACAGGACAUGGUUACCAUGUUUACCAAACAUAUAAUAUACAGGACAUGGUUACCAUGUUUACCAAACAUAUACAGGACAUGGUUACCAUGUUUACCAAACAUAUACAGGACAUGGUUACCAUGUUUACCAAACAUAUACAGGACAUGGUUACCAUGUUUACCAAACAUAUACAGGACAUGGUUACCAUGUUCACCAAACAUAUACAGGACAUGGUUACCAUGUUUACCAAACAUAUACAGGACAUGGUUACCAUGUUUACCAAACAUAUACAGGACAUGGUUACCAUGUUUACCAAACAUAUACAGGACAUGGUUACCAUGUUUACCAUAUACAGGACAUGGUUACCAUGUUUACCAAACAUAUACAGUACAUGGUUACCAUGUUCACCAAACAUAUACAGGACAUGGUUACCAUGUUUACCAAACAUAUACAGGACAUGGUUACCAUGGUCACCAAACAUAUCCAGGACAUGGUUACCAUGGUCACCAAACAUAUACAGGACAUGGUUACCAUGUUUACCAAACAUAUACAGGACAUGGUUACCAUGUUUACCAAACAUAUACAGGACAUGGUUACCAUGUUUACCAAACAUAUACAGGACAUGGUUACCAUGUUUACCAAACAUAUACAGGA
This 1291-nucleotide long non-coding RNA is filed under the name Oncorhynchus kisutch (coho salmon). Its description in RNAcentral is "lncRNA (ENSOKIG00005048190.1)". Lineage: Eukaryota; Metazoa; Chordata; Actinopteri; Salmoniformes; Salmonidae. The record is from RNAcentral.